GACGGGGACCCGCACAAGCGGUGGAUGAUGUGGAUUAAUUCGAUGCAACGCGAAAACCUUACCUACCCUUGACAUGUCCGGAAUCCCGAAGAGAUUUGGGAGUGCUCGCAAGAGAGCCGGAACACAGGUGCUGCAUGGCUGUCGUCAGCUCGUGUCGUGAGAUGUUGGGUUAAGUCCCGCAACGAGCGCAACCCUUGUCAUUAGUUGCUACAUUCAGUUGGGCACUCUAAUGAGACUGCCGGUGACAAGCCGGAGGAAGGUGGGGAUGACGUCAAGUCCUCAUGGCCCUUAUAGGUGGGGCUACACACGUCAUACAAUGGAUGGUACAAAGGGUCGCCAACCCGCGAGGGGGAGCCAAUCCCAUAAAGCCAUUCGUAGUCCGGAUCGCAGUCUGCAACUCGACUGCGUGAAGUCGGAAUCGCUAGUAAUCGUGGAUCAGAAUGUCACGGUGAAUACGUUCCCGGGUCUU
Molecule: ribosomal RNA, 469 nt
Filed under: uncultured Pseudomonas sp.
Lineage: Bacteria; Pseudomonadati; Pseudomonadota; Gammaproteobacteria; Pseudomonadales; Pseudomonadaceae
Description: bacterial SSU rRNA
Rfam family: Bacterial small subunit ribosomal RNA
Source: RNAcentral